This 253-nucleotide ribosomal RNA is filed under the name uncultured bacterium. Its description in RNAcentral is "partial 16S ribosomal RNA". It matches the Rfam family "Bacterial small subunit ribosomal RNA", at positions 524 to 776 of the family's 1533-position model. The record is from RNAcentral.
UACGAAGGGGGCUAGCGUUGUUCGGAUUUACUGGGCGUAAAGCGCGUGUAGGCGGGUCGUUAAGUUGGGGGUGAAAUCCCGGAGCUCAACUCCGGAACUGCCUUCAAAACUGGCGACCUGGACUCAAGCAGAGGCAAGUGGAAUUGCGAGUGUAGAGGUGAAAUUCGUAGAUAUUCGCAGGAACACCAGUGGCGAAGGCUACUUGCUGGGCUUGUAGUGACGCUGAGACGCGAAAGCGUGGGGAGCAAACAGG